Molecule: ribosomal RNA, 443 nt
Filed under: uncultured Spumella
Lineage: Eukaryota; Synurophyceae; Ochromonadales; Ochromonadaceae
Description: eukaryotic LSU rRNA
Rfam family: Eukaryotic large subunit ribosomal RNA
Source: RNAcentral
CUGCGAGUGAAGCGGGAAAAGCUCAGACUGAAAAUCUUCGGAAUUGUAGUCUGGAGAGGUAUGGUCAGCCGAUGAUGAUGAGUGAAGUCUUCUGGAAAGGAGCGCCUUGGAGGGUGAUAGCCCCGUUCAUACUUAUCAUUAGAAGCGUACGACCUGCUUUCUACGAGUCGUGUUGUUUGGGACUGCAGCACUAAGUGGGUGGUAAAUUCCAUCUAAAGCUAAAUAUUGGUGGGAGACCGAUAGCGAACAAGUACCGUGAGGGAAAGAUGCAAAGAACUUUGAAAAGAGAGUUAAAUAGUACCUGAAAUUGCUGAAAUGGAACCGAUGGGAAGCAGUGUCGGUGGCGGGUAUUUAUACCUGUCACAAGCCAGGCUUCUUUUCUGGUGCGGGAAAGGCUGAUAAACUAGUUUAGGUUAUCUACGCCGUCGUGCUAGCGAAGGACU